UGGGGAAUUUUGGACAAUGGGCGCAAGCCUGAUCCAGCAAUGCCGCGUGCAGGAUGAAGGCCUUCGGGUUGUAAACUGCUUUUGUACGGAACGAAAAGCCUCUCUCUAAUACAGGGGGGUGAUGACGGUACCGUAAGAAUAAGCACCGGCUAACUACGUGCCAGCAGCCGCGGUAAUACGUAGGGUGCAAGCGUUAAUCGGAAUUACUGGGCGUAAAGCGUGCGCAGGCGGUUUUGUAAGACAGUGGUGAAAUCCCCGGGCUCAACCUGGGAACUGCCAUUGUGACUGCAAGGCUGGAGUGCGGCAGAGGGGGAUGGAAUUCCGCGUGUAGCAGUGAAAUGCGUAGAUAUGCGGAGGAACACCGAUGGCGAAGGCAAUCCCCAGGGCCUGCACUGACGCUCAUGCACGAAAGCGUGGGGAGCGAACAGGAUUAGAUACCCUGGUAGUCCACGCCCUAAACGAUGUCAACUGGUUGUUGGGGGAUUUAUUUCUUCAGUAACGAAGCUAACGCGU
This 513-nucleotide ribosomal RNA is filed under the name uncultured bacterium. RNAcentral describes it as "partial 16S ribosomal RNA". It matches the Rfam family "Bacterial small subunit ribosomal RNA", at positions 355 to 860 of the family's 1533-position model. The record is from RNAcentral.